CGGAGGAGCAUGUGGUUUAAUUCGAUGAUACGCGAGGAACCUUACCAGGGCUUGAAAGUUAGUGAAGGAUGUGGAAACAGCCUACACGACUAGGUGUGACGAGCGCAACCCCUAUCAUUAGUUGCCAACGGGAUGUCAAGUAUCACGGCCCUUACGUCCUGGCUACAUACAUGGUCGGUACAAGGGCAGCCACAUGGUAACAUGGAGCUUCCUUAAAGUCGAUCUCAGUUCGGAUCGAGGUGCAACCCGACCUCGUGAAGCUGGAUUCGCUAGUAAUCGAUAUCAGCCAUGAUGCGGUGAAUACGUUCCCGGGCCUUGUACACACCGCCGUCAAGCCAUGGGAGUUGGGGGUACCCGAAGUCGAUCACCGCAAGGAGUCGCCUAGGUAAAACCAAUGACUGGGGCUAAGUCGUACAAGGU
Molecule: ribosomal RNA, 420 nt
Filed under: uncultured Bacteroidota bacterium
Lineage: Bacteria; Pseudomonadati; Bacteroidota
Description: bacterial SSU rRNA
Rfam family: Bacterial small subunit ribosomal RNA
Source: RNAcentral